RNAcentral lists this ribosomal RNA (460 nucleotides) under uncultured bacterium. RNAcentral describes it as "partial 16S ribosomal RNA". It matches the Rfam family "Bacterial small subunit ribosomal RNA", at positions 338 to 795 of the family's 1533-position model. The record is from RNAcentral.
CCUACGGGGGGCUGCAGUGAGGAAUAUUGGUCAAUGGGCGCGAGCCUGAACCAGCCAAGUAGCGUGAAGGAUGACUGCCCUACGGGUUGUAAACUUCUUUUAUAAAGGAAUAAAGUGAGGCACGUGAGCCUUUUUGUAUGGACUUUAUGAAUAAGGAUCGGCUAACUCCGUGCCAGCAGCCGCGGUAAUACGGAGGUUCCGAGCGUUAUCCGGAUUUAUUGGGUGUAAAGGGAGCGUAGAUGGGUUGUUAAGUCAGUUGUGAAAGUUUGCGGCUCAACCGUAAAAUUGCAAUUGAUACUGGCAGCCUUGAGUACAGUUGAUGUAGGCGGAAUUCGUGGUGUAGCGGUGAAAUGCUGAGAUAUCACGAAGAACUCCGAUUGCGAAGGCAGCUUACUAAACUGCCACUGACAUUGAUGCUCGAAAGUGUGGGGAUCAAACAGGAUUAGAUACCCGAGUAGUC